AGACCAGACUCCUACGGGAGGCAGCAGUGGGGAAUAUUGCACAAUGGGGGAAACCCUGAUGCAGCGACGCCGCGUGAGUGAAGAAGUAUUUCGGUAUGUAAAGCUCUAUCAGCAGGGAAGAAGUUGACGGUACCUGAGUAAGAAGCCCCGGCUAACUACGUGCCAGCAGCCGCGGUAAUACGUAGGGGGCAAGCGUUAUCCGGAUUUACUGGGUGUAAAGGGAGCGUAGACGGCAGCACAAGUCUGGAGUGAAAUGCCGGGGCUUAACCCCGGAACUGCUUUGGAAACUGUACGGCUGGAGUGCUGGAGAGGUAAGCGGAAUUCCUAGUGUAGCGGUGAAAUGCGUAGAUAUUAGGAGGAACACCGGUGGCGAAGGCGGCUUACUGGACUGCAACUGACGUUGAGGCUCGAAGGCGUGGGGAGCAAACAGGAUUAGAUACCCGAGUA
This 447-nucleotide ribosomal RNA is filed under the name uncultured bacterium. RNAcentral's name for it is "bacterial SSU rRNA". It matches the Rfam family "Bacterial small subunit ribosomal RNA", at positions 328 to 792 of the family's 1533-position model. The record is from RNAcentral.